CGGGGGCGUGCUUACCUGCAAGUCGAACGAUGAUCCGGUGCUUGCACCGGGGAUUAGUGGCGAACGGGUGAGUAACACGUGAGUAACCUGCCCUUAACUCUGGGAUAAGCCUGGGAAACUGGGUCUAAUACCGGAUAUGACUCCUCAUCGCAUGGUGGGGGGUGGAAAGCUUUAUUGUGGUUUUGGAUGGACUCGCGGCCUAUCAGCUUGUUGGUGAGGUAAUGGCUCACCAAGGCGACGACGGGUAGCCGGCCUGAGAGGGUGACCGGCCACACUGGGACUGAGACACGGCCCAGACUCCUACGGGAGGCAGCAGUGGGGAAUAUUGCACAAUGGGCGCAAGCCUGAUGCAGCGACGCCGCGUGAGGGAUGACGGCCUUCGGGUUGUAAACCUCUUUCAGUAGGGAAGAAGCGAAAGUGACGGUACCUGCAGAAGAAGCGCCGGCUAACUACGUGCCAGCAGCCGCGGUAAUACGUAGGGCGCAAGCGUUAUCCGGAAUUAUUGGGCGUAAAGAGCUCGUAGGCGGUUUGUCGCGUCUGCCGUGAAAGUCCGGGGCUCAACUCCGGAUCUGCGGUGGGUACGGGCAGACUAGAGUGAUGUAGGGGAGACUGGAAUUCCUGGUGUAGCGGUGAAAUGCGCAGAUAUCAGGAGGAACACCGAUGGCGAAGGCAGGUCUCUGGGCAUUAACUGACGCUGAGGAGCGAAAGCAUGGGGAGCGAACAGGAUUAGAUACCCUGGUAGUCCAUGCCCGUAAACGUUGGGCACUAGGUGUGGGGGACAUUC
RNAcentral lists this ribosomal RNA (784 nucleotides) under uncultured bacterium. RNAcentral describes it as "bacterial SSU rRNA". It matches the Rfam family "Bacterial small subunit ribosomal RNA", at positions 37 to 834 of the family's 1533-position model. The record is from RNAcentral.